AGCAGCCGCGGUAAUUCCAGCUCCAAUAGCGUAUAUUAAAGUUGUUGCAGUUAAAAAGCUCGUAGUUGAAUUUCGGGAUCAGUACGCUGGUCGUGCCUCCGGUAUGUACUGGUGUCACUGAUUCCUCCCUUCUGAAGAACCAUCAUGCCAUUCACUUGGUGUGGUGGGGAAUCAGGACUGUUACUUUGAAAAAUUAGAGUGUUUAAAGCAGGCUCGCGCUUGAAUACAUUAGCAUGGAAUAAUGAAAUAGGACGUUUAUCCUAUUUUGUUGGUUUCUAGGAUUGACGUAAUGAUUAAUAGGGAUAGUUGGGGGCAUUAGUAUUCAAUUGUCAGAGGUGAAAUUCUUGGAUUUAUUGAAGACUAACUACUGCGAAAGCAUUUGCCAAGGAUGUUUUCAUUAAUCAAGAACGAAAGUUAGGGGAUCGAAGACGAUCAGAUACCGUCGUAGUCUUAACCAUAAACUAUGCCGACUAGGGAUCGGAUGAUGUUAAUUUUAAUGA
RNAcentral lists this ribosomal RNA (500 nucleotides) under uncultured Glomeromycotina. RNAcentral's name for it is "SSU rRNA". It matches the Rfam family "Eukaryotic small subunit ribosomal RNA", at positions 569 to 1074 of the family's 1831-position model. The record is from RNAcentral. Lineage: Eukaryota; Fungi; Glomeromycota.